GACGAACGCUGGCGGCGUGCUUAACACAUGCAAGUCGAACGGAAAGGCCUUUUCGGAGGUACUCGAGUGGCGAACGGGUGCGUAACACGUGGGUGAUCUGCCCUGCACUCUGGGAUAAGCCUGGGAAACUGGGUCUAAUACCGGAUAGGACCGCACUUUAGUGUGUGUGGUGGAAAGUUUUUUCGGUGUAGGAUGAGCCCGCGGCCUAUCAGCUUGUUGGUGGGGUAAUGGCCUACCAAGGCGGCGACGGGUAGCCGGACUGAGAGGUUGGUCAGCCACAUUGGGACUGAGAUACGGCCCAGACUCCUACGGGAGGCAGCAGUGGGGAAUAUUGCACAAUGGGCGCAAGCCUGAUGCAGCGACGCCGCGUGGGGGAUGACGGCCUUCGGGUUGUAAACUCCUUUCGCCAGGGACGAAGCGUUUUGUGACGGUACCUGGAGAAGAAGCACCGGCUAACUACGUG
RNAcentral lists this ribosomal RNA (463 nucleotides) under uncultured bacterium. RNAcentral's name for it is "partial 16S ribosomal RNA". It matches the Rfam family "Bacterial small subunit ribosomal RNA", at positions 28 to 507 of the family's 1533-position model. The record is from RNAcentral.